This 302-nucleotide long non-coding RNA is filed under the name Mytilus galloprovincialis (Mediterranean mussel). The record is from RNAcentral. Lineage: Eukaryota; Metazoa; Mollusca; Bivalvia; Mytilida; Mytilidae.
UUUUAAAAUUGACAAAAUAACUUAAGAAUAGAGAAAAAUGGCAUUAAAAAAUAAAGGAUACUUAGUGAAAACCCCCUUUUCCCCCUCCAAAAACCUUCUUAUCUUUGGACCAUGCCUCAAAAGACCUAAACCUAUAUGUCCUAAAGUUAGAAGGAUAAAUACAGAUUUUGAUUAAGUCUAUCAGUAUUAAUGAGAAAAUGGAUAAAAGUUGAGUUAUCUUUCUUUGUGUUCGGAGGUGCUCUUACCGGCGGAGGUUUAUUCACAGUAGAAGAAUACAAAAUGGCGUCGAUUUUAAAUCAACA